RNAcentral lists this long non-coding RNA (1362 nucleotides) under Oncorhynchus mykiss (rainbow trout). RNAcentral's name for it is "lncRNA (ENSOMYG00000051022.1)". Lineage: Eukaryota; Metazoa; Chordata; Actinopteri; Salmoniformes; Salmonidae. The record is from RNAcentral.
GCUGGUGCAUAGCCCGGUGCUGUAUAUUCCAGCUCCGCGUGUCGGCCGGGCUAGAUUGAGCGUCGAGCCUAAUGCCAUGAAGCCGGCUCUACGCAUCUGGUCCCCAGUGCGUCUCCUUGGGCCGGCUUACAUGGCACCAGCCUUGCGCUCGGUGUCUCCGGUUCGCCUGCAUAGCCCAGUGCGGGCUAUUCCACCUCGCCGCACUGGCAGGGCGACCGUGAGCAUUCAACCAGGUAAGGUUGGGCAGGCUCGGUGCUCAAGAGCUCCAGUGCGCCUGCACGGUCCGGUCUUUCCAGUACCACCUCGACACCCCAGCCCUCCGGUAGCAGCUCCCCGCACCAGGCUUCCUGUGCGUGUCCUCGGCCCAGUACCACCAGUGCCAGCACCACGCAUCAGGCCUACAGUGCGCCUCGCCUGUCCAGCGCUGCCGGAGCCUUCUUCCUCUCCAGCGCUGUCGGAGUCUCCCGCCUGUCUAGCGCUGUUAGAGCCUUCCUCCUCUACAGCGCUGCCGGAGUCUCCCGCCUGUUCAGAACUGCCAGUCUGCAAGGAGCUGCCAGUCUGCAAGGAGCUGCCAGUCUGCAAGGAGCUGCCAGUCUGCAAGGAGCUGCCAGUCUGCAAGGAGCUGCCAGUCUGCAAGGAGCUGCCAGUCUGCAAGGAGCUGCCAGUCUGCAAGGAGCUGCCAGUCUGCAAGGAGCUGCCAGUCUGCAGGAUGCCGCCAGGGCCGCCAGUCUGCAGGAUGCCGCCAGGGCCGCCAGUCUGCAAGGAUGCCGCCAGGGCCGCCAGUCUGCAGGAUGCCGCCAGGGCCGCCAGUCUGCAGGAUGCCGCCAGGGCCGCCAGUCUGCAGGAUGCCGCCAGGGCCGCCAGUCUGCAGGAUGCCGCCAGGGCCGCCAGUCUACAGGAUGCCGCCAGGGCCGCCAGUCUGCAGGAUGCCGCCAGUCUGCAGGAUGCCGCCAGUCUGCAGGAUGCCGCCAGUCUGCAGGAUGCCGCCAGUCUGCAGGAUGCCGCCAGGGCCGCCAGUCUGCAGGAUGCCGCCAGGGCCGCCAGUCUGCAGGAUGCCGCCAGGGCCGCCAGUCUGCAGGAUGCCGCCAGGGCCGCCAGUCUGCAGGAUGCCGCCAGGGCCGCCAGGGCCGCCAGUCUGCAUGGAGCAGCCAGGGCCGCCAGUCUGCAUGGAGCAGCCAGGGCCGCCAGUCUGCAUGGAGCAGCCAGGGCCGCCAGUCUGCAUGGAGCAGCCAGGGCCGCCAGUCUGCAUGGAGCAGCCAGGGCCGCCAGUCUGCAUGGAGCAGCCAGGGCCGCCAGUCUGCAUGGAGCAGCCAGGGCCGCCAGUCUGCAUGGAGCAGCCAGGGCCGCCAGUCUGCAUGGAGC